Molecule: ribosomal RNA, 460 nt
Filed under: uncultured bacterium
Lineage: Bacteria
Description: partial 16S ribosomal RNA
Rfam family: Bacterial small subunit ribosomal RNA
Source: RNAcentral
CCUACGGGUGGCAGCAGUGAGGAAUAUUGGUCAAUGGACGAGAGUCUGAACCAGCCAAGUAGCGUGAGGGAUGACUGCCCUAUGGGUUGUAAACUUCUUUUAUAAAGGAAUAAAACGAGGCACGUGUGCCUUUUUGCAUGUACUUUAUGAAUAAGGAUCGGCUAACUCCGUGCCAGCAGCCGCGGUAAUACGGAGGAUCCGAGCGUUAUCCGGAUUUAUUGGGUUUAAAGGGAGCGUAGAUGGGUUGUUAAGUCAGUUGUGAAAGGUUGCGGCUCAACCGUAAAAUUGCAAUUGAUACUGGCAGUCUUGAGUACAGGUGAGGUAGGCGGAAUUCGUGGUGUAGCGGUGAAAUGCUUAGAUAUCACGAAGAACCCCGAUUGCGAAGGCAGCUUACUAAACUGUGACUGACAUUGAUGCUCGAAAGUGUGGGUAUCAAACAGGAUUAGAUACCCUUGUAGUC